RNAcentral lists this ribosomal RNA (673 nucleotides) under Vibrio cholerae O1 biovar El Tor. RNAcentral's name for it is "bacterial LSU rRNA". It matches the Rfam family "Bacterial large subunit ribosomal RNA", at positions 2276 to 2925 of the family's 2925-position model. The record is from RNAcentral. Lineage: Bacteria; Pseudomonadati; Pseudomonadota; Gammaproteobacteria; Vibrionales; Vibrionaceae.
GGGGCGGUCUCCUCCCAAAGAGUAACGGAGGAGCACGAAGGUGGGCUAAUCACGGUUGGACAUCGUGAGGUUAGUGCAAUGGCAUAAGCCCGCUUAACUGCGAGAAUGACGGUUCGAGCAGGUGCGAAAGCAGGUCAUAGUGAUCCGGUGGUUCUGUAUGGAAGGGCCAUCGCUCAACGGAUAAAAGGUACUCCGGGGAUAACAGGCUGAUACCGCCCAAGAGUUCAUAUCGACGGCGGUGUUUGGCACCUCGAUGUCGGCUCAUCACAUCCUGGGGCUGAAGUCGGUCCCAAGGGUAUGGCUGUUCGCCAUUUAAAGUGGUACGCGAGCUGGGUUUAGAACGUCGUGAGACAGUUCGGUCCCUAUCUGCCGUGGGCGUUGGAAGAUUGAAGGGGGCUGCUCCUAGUACGAGAGGACCGGAGUGGACGAACCUCUGGUGUUCGGGUUGUGUCGCCAGACGCAUUGCCCGGUAGCUAAGUUCGGAAUUGAUAAGCGCUGAAAGCAUCUAAGCGCGAAGCGAGCCCUGAGAUGAGUCUUCCCUGACAGUUUAACUGUCCUAAAGGGUUGUUCGAGACUAGAACGUUGAUAGGCAGGGUGUGUAAGCGUUGUGAGGCGUUGAGCUAACCUGUACUAAUUGCCCGUGAGGCUUAACCAUACAACACCCAAGGGGUUU